This 564-nucleotide ribosomal RNA is filed under the name Fusarium sp. NRRL 52756. RNAcentral's name for it is "eukaryotic LSU rRNA". It matches the Rfam family "Eukaryotic large subunit ribosomal RNA", at positions 1 to 563 of the family's 3401-position model. The record is from RNAcentral. Lineage: Eukaryota; Fungi; Ascomycota; Sordariomycetes; Hypocreales; Nectriaceae.
AACUUCUGAAUGUUGACCUCGGAUCAGGUAGGAAUACCCGCUGAACUUAAGCAUAUCAAUAAGCGGAGGAAAAGAAACCAACAGGGAUUGCCCUAGUAACGGCGAGUGAAGCGGCAACAGCUCAAAUUUGAAAUCUGGCUCUCGGGCCCGAGUUGUAAUUUGUAGAGGAUGCUUUUGAUGCGGUGCCUUCCGAGUUCCCUGGAACGGGACGCCAUAGAGGGUGAGAGCCCCGUCUGGUUGGAUGCCAAAUCUCUGUAAAGCUCCUUCGACGAGUCGAGUAGUUUGGGAAUGCUGCUCUAAAUGGGAGGUAUAUGUCUUCUAAAGCUAAAUACCGGCCAGAGACCGAUAGCGCACAAGUAGAGUGAUCGAAAGAUGAAAAGCACUUUGAAAAGAGAGUUAAAAAGUACGUGAAAUUGUUGAAAGGGAAGCGUUUAUGACCAGACUUGGGCUUGGUUAAUCAUCUGGGGUUCUCCCCAGUGCACUUUUCCAGUCCAGGCCAGCAUCAGUUUUCGCCGGGGGAUAAAGGCUUCGGGAAUGUGGCUCUCUCCGGGGAGUGUUAUAGCC